UACGAAGGGGGCUAGCGUUGUUCGGAUUUACUGGGCGUAAAGCGCACGUAGGCGGAUCUUUAAGUCAGAGGUGAAAUCCCGGAGCUCAACUUCGGAACUGCCUUUGAUACUGGGGAUCUCGAGUUCGGGAGAGGUGAGUGGAACUGCGAGUGUAGAGGUGAAAUUCGUAGAUAUUCGCAAGAACACCAGUGGCGAAGGCGGCUCACUGGCCCGAUACUGACGCUGAGGUGCGAAAGCGUGGGGAGCGAACAGG
RNAcentral lists this ribosomal RNA (253 nucleotides) under uncultured bacterium. RNAcentral's name for it is "partial 16S ribosomal RNA". It matches the Rfam family "Bacterial small subunit ribosomal RNA", at positions 524 to 776 of the family's 1533-position model. The record is from RNAcentral.